Molecule: long non-coding RNA, 32212 nt
Filed under: Hordeum vulgare
Lineage: Eukaryota; Viridiplantae; Streptophyta; Magnoliopsida; Poales; Poaceae
Description: long non-coding RNA (HVUL_LNC007757)
Source: RNAcentral
CCUGAGAUGGACCCGGCAUUUGCCGCCAAGCUCAGGGCCCAGUGCAACGGCAACGACGACACCAACGUAAACCAAGACGAUGUGACCCCAAACGUCCUGGAUAAGCGGUACUACCAGAACGUGAUCGACAGGAAAGUGUUGUUCACCUCAGACGCCGUGCUCAACUCGACGGAAACGAUGAUGCAGGUGAGAGAAAACGCGAACAGAGCAGGAGCGUGGGAGAGGAAGUUCGAGAGAGCAAUGGAGAAUAUGGGAAAAAUCGGGAUCAAGACCAGAGGCGACCAGCAAGGCGCAGAGAUCAGGAAGGUAUGCUCCAGAGUGAACAACUAACGUCGGCUAGUAGUAAUGCGGGGUCGUUGGCUGGCUCCAUGGUGGGAUCCCCCUAUGGACGAGAUGUAACUUCGUCUAGUAUCUACUGUCAUUGUUGGUUUUCUCAUACAAAAGCUCGGUGUGUAUGUUCAUGUACGACUUUUUUUCUGGUUAUUUCUACCGAUUACUCUAGGAGCAUAAAAAAGUCAAAUGUAUUGUUUCUUAACACGGUAUCAUAGGUGCAUUAAAAAUUUAAGAACCUACUUGUCCAAUGUAUUAUCUAUUCGAGGUUGUAUCUAAAUUUAAUGAUAUGAUGCUCGUGCAUGUAUAUGAUUGGACAAUUAGCUAUUUUUGCCUAUAAUAACAUGUAAAGAUUGUACUCCCACCGUCCAGGUGUAUAGAACGUGCGCGUAGUUCUAGGUCGUUAAUUUAACUACUUAAAUAUGUAUUAUAUGUAGUAGAUAAUAUACCAUUAGAUUCAUGCGGGGAUGUAGUUUCUGAAUAUGUAAUUUUUAUCGUAUAUAAUACUCCAUUGACAACCUAAAACUACGCACAUAUCCUAUACACUUGGACGGAGGUAGUACUAGUUGCUAAGAUACAACCCCACCCUCUCUUUUCAUUAAAUAGUGUGACACAUAAGUAAAUUACCUAUGAAACCGUGCUAAGAAACCCCAUUAACAUAGGCUUAAGGUGACCGGUUAGGUUUCAAUCGUCGGUCACCUUUUGGUAGCAAGGGGAUAUACGUUCCACAAGUUGUGCUAAUUACUUCACUUAGCUAGCUAGGUAGUACUCCCUCUGUAAACNNNNNNNNNNNNNNNNNNNNNNNNNNNNNNNNNNNNNNNNNNNNNNNNNNNNNNNNNNNNNNNNNNNNNNNNNNNNNNNNNNNNNNNNNNNNNNNNNNNNNNNNNNNNNNNNNNNNNNNNNNNNNNNNNNNNNNNNNNNNNNNNNNNNNNNNNNNNNNNNNNNNNNNNNNNNNNNNNNNNNNNNNNNNNNNNNNNNNNNNNNNNNNNNNNNNNNNNNNNNNNNNNNNNNNNNNNNNNNNNNNNNNNNNNNNNNNNNNNNNNNNNNNNNNNNNNNNNNNNNNNNNNNNNNNNNNNNNNNNNNNNNNNNNNNNNNNNNNNNNNNNNNNNNNNNNNGUUUACAGAGGGAGUACUUCCUUUAUCACGGUUUAGAAGGCAUCCUUUAAAUUUCAUGCAUUUCUAAAAUGAAGAAGGAUCAAGGCGUGUUUUAUUUAUUGCCUACUAGUAGUAUAUCAUAAUGAGUAAUUAGGAGUAUUACUACUAUUGCAUGCAGCUGUGUGAACGUUGGGAGGAAUUGGUUUCACUGUGCAUGCAUGAGUAAACAAAGAAUAGAUGGAUCACGAUAGGUAGAUGGAUAAGAACAUGCACAUGAAUGCAUGCGCCAAUCGGUCCAUGAACUAUGCUUUCAAUUCCACAUGCAUGCACGUCCGUAUCACUGUGCAGCGUUCAAAAAAUAUCAUAAUUAAGACAUUACAAAUAGAUUGGUAUCAAGAUGGAUAAUUUUUACAUGUCAUUAUUAAAUCUGGGACAAGACAUUAUAAAAAGAUCUAAAUCACAUAUAAAUACAAAUACGUAUUGAUAAUGUAUUUGACCAACGGAGUCUGUCUGUCAGAUGUCGAUGUGACACGUUUUUAACAGAAACCCCCUUUUUAUACUUCAUCAAACAAAUGCCCUUUAUUUUUGCAUAAAAAAAUAUCCUCUGAAAGAUUUUUUUCGUCCAGAAUUUUUCAAAUGCGGCGCCGAGCCACCACGCCACGAAGGGGCUGGCGUUACAGAAGGGCGGGACGUCCUUCCUUUAUACUCGCGUGGACAUGCUAGGCCGGCUGCUUGGGCUUAGCAAGGCUGCACGCGCUGAAUUACUAUUAAAAAUAUUUAUAUGUAACUUUUAAAUUACGCAAUUAUAAAAAAACGCAUAUAACCUGCGGUAAUCGAUACAUAUACUGUGUAUCUUCAUUAUAUUAUUGAAAAAUGCAAAACUAAUAAAAAUAUAUGCCCAACAAACAUUUUUUCUUUUAGUUACUCCUAUAUUGAUUGUAUUUUUAGAAACACACAUGUACUUAAAAAGUUGAUGAAACAUAUUAAAAAUAUUUGUGUUGUUACAAUAAAUUUUAGAAAUGCAUUAAAACUGUUCAACUUUUAUUUUAAAAAAGGUGUUUCUUGAAAUGCAAAACGAUUUUACACAAUAAUAUGUAAAAAUUUCAUCAUAUUUUAAGAAUAUUGCUUAUUAUUUUAGAUAUAAUUGUAUAAUCAACUAUUCAAAAAAAAUCAUCAUAUCUACAUUUGUCAACAUUUUUUGAAAUAAACAUUGACAAAACAAAAAGUUCACCGUGCACUAUUUAAAAUGUCUAUCAUAUCUUAUUAAAUUGUUCAACAUAUGUUACAAAUUUUGUCAAUUUGCAUUUAAAAUAUGUUCAUCGUAUAUUAAAAAAUUAUUAUAUUAAAAGUAUGUUCAACGUUUGUAAAAAGAACCUGUGCAACGAACAAGCCCCAGUAAAACGCGAAACAGAAAAACAUAGUAGGCCUCGGAGGUACCAAUUACCGCCCAUCUAUCUAUUAACAUCUAAAAGAAACCACGCAUGUGUUCUACCACGAGUGUCUCUGUGGCGUGGUGGCUAGGUCGUUGUGCCUUUCCUGUGUACAUCGGGAAUUUGAUACCCCUGAACGAUGGUUUUUGUUUCUUUAACUUAAUUGUUCAAUUCGAUGAAAAAUCAUUCAAAAGAGUCCCAUUAUGUGUUGGAAAAUUACGAACGGGGAUUUUUUUUCUUUCAUAGGAUCAUUUUUCCUGUGAAAAUAACAUGCAUUUAUAUGAUUACGUAUAAAGUAAAGGGUUUUUUUGCAAAAAAACUUGCCACGUAGGCACUUGACAAGAGGGUCUUAUUGGUGAGAUACACCAUCAAUACGUAUUUAUACGCGGUUUAGAUCAUUUUGUAACGGUUUGCCCCAAACUUGAUACUAAAAUGUAAAAACUACCAAUGUUGAUACCAAUCUGCUAGUAAUGCCUUAAUUAUGGUACUUUUAUGCAAUUAACUCCACUAUGCAUGGUGAGUUCACUAUACUCCCUCUCUAAAUUAAUAUAACAACGUUUCGAUCAUUAAAGUAGUGAUCUAAAUAUUCUGAUAUUAGUUUACGGAGGGAGUAUGUAACAAGGGGAAAAUACACAACGGUUGUCGGGGACAUAUGUCCCCGGAAUCUCAUGAGUCAUCCGAACAUGCCUAUUAUUAUAGUUCAUACGACUCGUGCAUAUUGUUUAUUUCUUUGUCCUAGCUUCCGUCGUAUUUGAUUCCUUUGCUCAUGUCACUCGUGUGUGUCCAGCCUCUCAUUUAAUCAACUACUUCUCCUAGUUGUCUCUUUCCUGUGUCUUGUAUCACUACACACGCUUCCUUCGUACGCAGUGUAUCUCUUUUGACACAUUAUGUUUUGCGUGCAUAGUUUGCUUGUCUUCGUAUUUUCAUAACUUAUAUUGAGUGAUAUAAAUUAUGAAAAUGAAAUAAUACAGUAGGCAUCAUGUAAGAACAAUUAUGAAUCUGGUCUUGGCAUUACUUAAGUGAAUGAUCUAUAUUUAUCAUUCUAACCCAUCUCACAAAAUUUCGUUAAGUUUUGUGUGAUUGAAGUUUUCAAGUUUUGGAUAAGAUACCAAUAUGAGGAGAAUAAUGAGCAGCAAGAUCCUAAGCUUGGGGAUGCCCAUGGCACCCUCAAGGUAAUAUCCAAGGAAGACUCAAGUAUCUAAGCUUGGGGAUACCCGGGUAGACAUCCCCUCUUUCAUGUCCAACAUUAUCACUAUAUCUUACUUGGAACUAUAUUUUUAUUCAUCAUAUGAUAUGUGUUUGGUUGCAACGUCAUUUUAUUUUGUUGUUCUCUGUUACUUGUUAUUUAUAAUCUUGUGUUUCAAUAAAAAAGUUUCAAGAAUUGUCUUUAGACUGCUUGAAUUGCAUGUGCGAUGUGUGUUAUACAAAAAUAGAAACUUGUUCUGUAGUAUUUGAAUUAUCAUAUUUUAUUGGAACGAGAAAAGUUUCUGAAACUUUUACACAGUACUUUCAUACAAAUUAUUUAUCAUGUCCAAAAUUUCAGAAUUUUUGAAGAUACAUAAGUACACUUUAUAUAUAUAUUGCUGCAGACUGUUCUGUUUGGAUAGAUUGCUAUCAUAGUUUUGUUAUCUACUUAUUCUAGAGUUUUCAUAGCUUAUAUUAGUGGAUAUAAUUUUUUUAAAUGAUACUAUACAUUACCUAAUGUUUGAAAAUUAUUAUGAAACUUGUCUUGCUAGUACGUGAAGUGUUGAUUUAGUUUAAUGUGUACUAACCUAUCUCAUGAGUUCUUUUCAAGUUUUUGUGUGGAUAAAUUUUGUGAGACUUAGAUGAAACCAUGAUAUGAGAGGAUUCAACGGAAUGGAAAAGCUCAAGCUUGGGGAUGCCCAAGGCACCCCAAGUAAAUAUUUCAAGAAGUCUCAAGCAUUUAAGCUUGGGGAUGCUACGCAUCCCACCUUUCUUCAUCAAUAACUAUCGGUUAGCCUAUGUUGAGUCUAAAUUUUUAUUUGUCCACAUAAUAUGUGCUAUUCUUGGAGUUUCUUUUGUUUUAUUUGUUGUUUGAAAUAAAAUAUCAGAUCAAAAAAUAUUUAUUGAGAGAGAGUCCUCACAUAGCUACUUAAUUGUUUGAUUACUCAUUGAUCUUCAAUUAUAUCUUUUGAGAGUAGUUUGAUUGAAUUGCUUUAGUACUUCACUUAUAUCUUUUGCACAUACAUAAGUACACUUUUCAUAUAUCUUUUUUAUCUUCACUUAUAAGUGAAGCAAGAGAGGAUUGAAUUGCUCUACUAUCUCACUUAGGCAAGAAAUAUGCUCUCAUGCUUCACUUAGAUUAUUUUGUGAGUUAGUAGAAACUUUGAAGAAAUCCUCUCUUGCUUCACUUAUAUAAUUUUAAGAGUUGAAAAUUUUAAAGAAACUUGUGCUCUCGUGCUUCACUUAUAUUUGUUUGAGAGCUUGUUAUUAGCAAUGGCAAUUUGCUUCAAAUGAAAUUGGUCCCAAAGUGAUGAAUAUCCAAGAAGGAUAUGAUAAAAACAUCCAUAUAGAUCAUUGGAUAUGAUAAGUUUGAUUCUUUGCAAUAGUUUUGCGAUAUGGUGAUAUUAAUAUAUGAGUCGUGUUGGUGAGUAAUUAUGCUUAGUAAGAAUAUUGGUGUUAAGGUUUGUGAUUCCCUAUACAUGCACAUUAAUUAAAUAGUUAUGGUAUGAAGUUACAUCCUACUUGUGUUGCAUUAUUCGGUGUUAGUUAUGUUUAAUGUUAGCUUAUGAUGGUUUUCGUUCCUUGGUUGGGCCCUUCUCAGUCUAUUUUCUAGCCUUCACUUGUAAUAAGCGGGAAUGCUGCUUGCACAUUCAAAUCCUAAACCCAAAGUUGUGCCAAAUGAUUCCACCAUGCCUACCUAUAUCCGGUAUUUCAGUGUUGUUCUAAGUAAAUUUGUAUGUGCCAACUCUAAUAUUCAAAAUAAACUUCUGUUUUGUGUGCCCGUACCAUUCAUGAAGCGGCGAGGGGUGGCCGAUAUCUUUCAUGUUAAAUAGGUUGUUCUCAAGAUGAAUGUUUAUUUACUUGUCAUUGCACGAGAGUAUGGCGGUAAUAGGGUUGUCUAGUCCCUAAAUGCAAAGAAAUUUAUUUUAUGUUGUCAAUUCAUAAAUUCCUUGGAAAGUGAUGGUAUGGACGGUACCCGUGGAUGCGGCUAGCCAUGUAGUGUGAAAGAAUAGUGGAAAAAGGAAUAAACUUUAUUUUUAGUUUGAGAACCGCCUAUGAUUUGUUUAGCAUGGAAGAUAUUGGGAACUCUUAGUCGUUUUCGUUGAUAGGAAAAGCAUGCCACCCAAAAUAUUUUAUCUCUCAAUUUUUUUGCGUCGAGCUCUCACACCGCUAAAAAUCUCUGCUUCCCUUUGUGAAGGGCCUAUCUAUUUACUUUUAUGCAUUUUUUAUUUUUAUUUGAGUCUCCAUCUUCUCUUAUAAAGAACCAACUACGGAACACUGUUAUCAUACUUGAGCAUUGGAUGUAGCUAAUAUUUGGGUGUGUUGCAUGAACGGAUCAAUGAUUGAGCAUGAUGGGCUAGGGAUAGCGUUCUUUAGCAUUGAUAUUUUGAAAGACAUUUUUGCUUGUUGAUAUGCUUGAGUAUUAAAGUUUUCAUGUCCAAUUAUAGACUAUUGAUUUGAUUCAUUCAAGUCCAAAUGUCCAUACUACAAAAGAAAAUAGUAUAUGAUGAAUAUGAUAGGUAGCAUUCCACAUCAAAAAUUACGUUUUCAAUUGCUACUUUAUCAUGAUGAGUUUUAUAAGAAAGAGUUGUUGUUAUGAUGUUACGAAAAGUGAUUGAAAUUAUCAUUGACCAAACUUAUGCACUAUGCUAGCAUUCACACUUCAUAAAGUAUUUCUUUUAUCAUUUACCUACUUGAGGACGAGUAGGAAUUAAGCUUGGGAAACCUGAUAUGUCUCCAACGUAUCUAUAAUUAUGAAGUAUUCAUGUCAUGUUUACAACAAUUUUAUAUAGUUUUGGUAUGAUUUGCAUGGAACUAACCCGCAUUGACAUUGUUUUUAGCAGAACUGUCGUGGUGUUGUUUUUUAUGUAGAAAUAGAAGUUCUCGGAAUGCAACGAAACUUUUUGACGAUUUUUCGGAAUAAAAGAGGCACCAGAAGUUUCUUGGGAGGACCAGAAAGUGAAGGAGGUGGCCACUACCCACCAAGGCACGCCAUAGGCCUUGCCCGUGGGCUGGUGGGUAGUGGGAACCUCAUGGGCCAUCUUGGCACGAUUCCAACGCCCAAAAUCCUAUAAAUAUACAAACCCCCAUAAAUAACCCUAGAUGAGAAGUUCCGCCACAGCAAGCCUCUGUAGCCAUGAAAAACCAAUUGGGAGCCCGUUCCGGCACUCUGUCGAAGGGGGAGAUCAUCACCGGAGGCCAUCUUCAUCAUCCCUGUGGCCACCAUGAUGAGGAGAGAGUAGUCCACCCUCAGGGCCGAGGGUUUAUACCAGUAGCUAUGCGCUUAAUCUCUCUCUCUAUCUCGUGUUCUUGAGAUGUCAUGAUCUUUAUGUAUCGCGGGCUUUGUUAAUAUCGUUGGAUCAUAUGGUGUUUCUCCCUCUCUAUCUUGUUGUGAUGAAUUGAGUUUUCCCUUUGAGAUUAGUUUUAUCGGAUUGAAUAUUUUAUGGAUUUGAGAGCACUUGAUUUAUGUCUUCCUAUGAAUACCCAUGGUGACAAUGGGGUAUCAUAUUGAUUAACUUGAUGUUUGUUUUGGUACUCGACUUGUGGAUUCCCGCGGCGACACUGGGGUAUUCUAUGCAUAGGGGUUGAUGCACGUUCUCUUCUUUGUUUCUCCGGUAGAAAUCUUGGGGAACUCUUUGAGGUUUUUUGUGUUGGAUUGAGUAUUAUGAAUCUGAAUUUGUUAUGGUGGUAUUUUAGUAUGAACUCUUGGAUAGAUCGAUCGGAAAGGAUAGCUUGUUAUUUUAGUACGAACUCUUGAAAAGAUUAAUCGGAAAGAAUAACUUUGAGGUGGCUUCGUACCCUACAAACAAUUCUUCUUAUGUUCUCCACUAGAUAGGAACUUUGGGGCGAUUCUUUAUCGCACAUUGAGGGAUUGUUGUGUGAUCCAAUUAUAUUAGCAUUGUUGAGAGGUUGCACUAGCGAAAGUACGGACCCUGGGCCUCAUUUCCAAGCAUUGCAAUACCGUUUGUGCUCACUUUGUUACUCGUUACCUUGCCGUUUUUCAUUGUUACUAUUACAAAAAUCAAUAUCUACUAUCAUUACUACAAAAGUUGUGAGAAUCGAGAUUCUAAAUCGGAUCGAAGCUCCAUUGGUAGGAUCAUGAAUUGCAGAAUCAUAACUAUUAAGAUCGUAGAAACUUAGAUUCUAUGAGCAAAAUCAUAGAAUCAGAGGGUCUAGUUUGGAUCUAAGGUCGUAAGAUUCCAAGACUUGAGUCGUGAUUCUGACAACUUGGAUUACUACACUUGUAUCACCAUCUCUUCGACGAACUAGCGCAUCUAUACAAAUUACCAUUUUAUUUGGUGUGUUGGGGGCACAAGAGACUUUUUAUUAUUUGGUUGGAGGAUUAUUUUAGAGAUACCAUGUUUAUCCUACGCAUCCCAUGAAUUGAUAAACCUUUGUUCAUCCACUUGAGGGAAAAAAUUUACUGUCCUACAGAACUCUGCGCUUGGAGGCCCAACACGGGUCUACAAGAAUAAAGUUGCGUAGUAGACAUUAGAGCUGCACGAGGAGCCAACAAGGCAACAAGGUGUGCACAGGGGGGUCAAGGCGCCCUGAUGCCUUGUCGAAUCCCUAUGGACCCUCUUGCCCCAUUGUUUGCCCUAUAAAUUCUCUAAUAUUUCAAAAACCCUAAAGGCAUCCAUGAAACACUUUUAUACCACCGCAAGUCUUUGUUCCACUGCGUUCCCAUCCGGAUAUUUGUUCGGGCACUCUGCCGGAGGGGGUCGAUCACGAAGGGCCUCUUCAUCAACCUCGGUGUCCUCGUGAUGAUGUGUGAGUAGUUCACCUCAGACCUACGGGUCCUUUGCUAGUACCUAGAUGGCAAUCUCCCUCUAUCUUGAUCUUCAAUACGAUGAUCAUCGCAUCUUCGCUUUGAUCUAUCCGAUGUAAUUCUUUUGAAUGGUGUGUUUUUUGGGAUGCGAUGAAUUGUGGUUUUAUGUGCAGAUUAUUCAUGAAAAUUAUUUGAGUCUUCUCUGGAUUAUUAUUUCUCUUAUUUGCAUGAUCAUCAUAGCUUCGUAAAUCUAUCUGAUCUAUUGAAUUGCUUUGGCCAAAUAGUUUGAUCUCUUUUUAGUGGUAGAUGUGCGUUGUAGUGGGUUCAACCUCAUGAUUUUCUAUAUCCCAUCAACAGAAGGGGACAAGCUGCAUCUUUGUGUUGCUGCCACUAAGGAUAAAACAAUGGGGUUUAUUCAUAUUGAUUGAGCAUUACUCUGUUUUACUUAAUACUCUAGAUGCAUGCUGGAUAGCGGUCGAUGGGUGGAGUAAUAGUAGCAGGUGCAGGCAGGAGUCGACCUAUUUGUUGAUGGAUGUGAUGCCUAUAUGAUCAUUUCCAUGAAAAUCGAAUAACUAUCUGUUGUUCUAUCAAUUGCCCAACAGUAAUUUCUUUACCCACCAUAUGUCGCUUUUAUAAGAGAUGCCACUAGAAUACACUAGGGCCCCCGGUUCUAUUCACUUAUAUAUUCAGAAAACUUAUAUUUCCUUGCUGCCUUAUUUUAUCUUUUAUUUUCGUUAUUAUUCUCAACAAUUAUGUACACAACUCACUUGCUUGCAAAUAACAAGAACAAGGGCAUUGACAACCCUCUUGCCCGCGUUGGGUGCAAGUUGUUUGCUCUUUUGUGUGUAGCCGCUGAAGGCGGUUGAGGAUUAAUAUUCCUAUUGGUUUGAUAAACCUUGAUUUUUUAAUUGAGGGAAAUACUUACCUGCAUUGUGUUUCGAUAACCCGUUCCUCUUCAGGGAAAACCCAACGGAUAUCACAAGCAUCACUGAUCGCUAGUAUUAAGGCCAUGGAUGCUACCAUGGAUUCAGUAGGCCUUGAUGAGGGUUGGUGGGCCCACCGUUACGAGCUUAAGGAGGCCUUGCCUGGGCUCCAUAAGUUAGAAGAGAUGUAUUGGCAACAACGUGGUCACACUUCUUGGUUGCUCAAAGGAGAUUCAGUCACGGCCUAUUUUUUAGCAGUUGCGAAUGAGUGUCAUAGGGGAUGCUUUAUUCUUAGGCUUUGUAUCAAUGGAGAGGUGGUGGCCAAUCGAGAGAUCAUUAGGAGCCAUAUCCUCUCCUAUUUCUCGGACCUCCUAGCUGCCAAACCCCCUACAAACAACGCAGUGCUUAUGUUACCUCUCUCCCAUGAUGAUAUGUACUUAGUGGUCUCCUCGUCCAAAUCCAGCUCUUCUCCUGGCCUGAUGGGCUCUCCUUCUCCUUCUUCAAAAGAAUUUGGUCGGUUCUGAAGCAUCUCGUCUAUGCUAUCAUCUCAAGUUUUUGUUUGGGGACAGUUGACAUUUCGAGACUCAACUAUGCGGUUAUCUCCAUUCUCCCAUGGUCAAAGGGGCACACUCCAUUAAACUAUUUAGACCUAUUGCCCUUAUUAAGAAAAUUUCAAAGUUUCCUCCUAAGGUUUCAACACUCACAUGUCCCCGACGGCCCAUAAGGUCAUUGGAUAACAACAAUCUUCUUUUAUCAAGGGGCAUUACAUUUUAGUUGGGUUCCUCCGCUUGCAUGAAAUCAUUCAUGACCUAAAGUCUAGUAAGUGCAGUGUAGUGGUGCUGAAACUGGACUUUGAGAAGGCUUACGACUUGGUUAAUUGGUCCUUUCUUCAAGAUGUCCUGUUGGCCAAAGGAUUUGGCAGGGCAUAUGUUCGCCGGAUUAUGCAACUCGUUUGUGUGUGGGGGGCACACUGCGGCUUCUGUCAAUGGGGGUGGUAAGCCCUUCUUUAAGAAUGGUAGGCUCCCCCGCCAGGGUGAACCUACCUCUCCCCUCCUCUUUAAUUUUGUGGUUGGUGCUUUCUCUUAUAUGUUGAAUCAGGCGGCGGUGGCGAGACAUAUCCUUCUAGUCUCUUCUAAUCUCAUUCCUUCUGGUGUGACUCAUUUUCAUUAUGUCGAUGACACUAUUAUCCUUGCUGAGAAUUUUGAUCGGUAUCUAGCUGAGGUGAAAUUCCUCCUUCUUUGUUUUCAGGAGAUGUUAGGGUUUAAUAAUAUUUUUUCUAAAAGUGAAGUCCACGUUUUGGGUGCUCCUCUUGAGGAGGCUUCGUGUGUGGCUACUCUCCUAGAUUGCUCCCUUGGUUCCUUCCCCUUCAAAUACCUUGGGAUGCCCAUUUCCCCCUUUAAGCUUCUUUCUAAGGAUUUCAACUUCUAGGUGUCUAAGGUGGCCAAUAGAGUUAUGCCGUGGAGGGGCGUUCUAACUCUACUGCAGGGCGGGUGUGCCUUGACAAUGCUUGUCUAUCUUCCCUGCCUAUGUUCCUCAUGAGUUUUUACCAUCUCCCGGAAAGCAUUCACACUGGUUUUGAUAAGCACAUGAGUGGCUUUUACUGGAACAUGGCAGACAAUAAAAGGAAAUACCGCCUGGUAAAAUGGAAACUGAUGUGCAAGCCUAAGAGGGUUGGGGGUUUGGGGAUCCUCUAGACUUCCAUCAUGAACAAAUGUCUGAUACUCAAGUGGUGGUGGCGCAUCAUGUCCUCUUCUGCCGAUACCCUAUGGUUGUGUAUUCUUAAAGCCAAAUAUUUUCCGCUCUCCUCCUCCCUUAUGUGUAACCUGUGAGUGGUGCCUCUGUGUCUCAGUUUCGGUGACACAUGCUUUCUGUCUGUGAUGAUUUUCAUGCUUUGGUGAAGUUUUCAGUUGGCAACAGAGCUACGACCAAAUUCUGGUUAGAUUGGUGGAUUGGGAGGGGCCCUUGCGGAUUCAUUUCAUGUGCUUUUUUUCUUUCAUUUCUGUUCCUUAGGCCUCCAUUGAGGAGCUCGAGGAUAGGGGUUGGGUCUUUGGCUUUCAUCGGGUCUUGUCUCCUACAGAGUUGGAGGAUUGACAUCAUCUUGUUGCUCUCCUCCCCUCACUCUCGAUGGCUCAGGAUGCGGUCCUCUUUCCGCAUUCAGCCUCUGGUCUUUUUUCUGGUAAGUCUUGCUAUCAUAUCUUAUCGGUUGGCACUAUGGUGCCAAAAAUCAAUCAUGUUUUGGUGGCUCGGGUGCCCCUGAAGAUCAAGAUUUUCAUGUGUCGGGCCCUAAGGGGCUGGCUUCCGGCUGCAAAGCAGAUUAAGAAAAGGCGUGGUUUGGGUUCUAAAUUCUAUGCCCUUUACGGACAACCUGAGGAUACUAGUCAUAUUUUGUUCCAUUGCCCCUUGGCCCUAUUGUUUUGGAGUUUGUCUCACAGAGUGGUUGCGUGUAGGUCUUAGGUUGUGGCUAGUUUUGAUGAGUUGCGGCCGCUUGGGUCAUCCCUUUUCGGCCAAACAAGGAGGUUAUUUUGGUUUGGCUCUCAACCAUGUGUUGGACCCUUUGGACAACCAAAAAUAAAUUUACUAUCGAAUAGGUGUUUCCGAACAUGGCGGUUGACUGUAUUUUCAAAUUUUCUAUCUAUUUGAAGUAGUGAAAAUCUGUGAUUAAAGAUGGACACAAGGUGGUUGUGGAUCUCCUCAUCUCUCGUGUUCAUGUUUUGGCAGCUGUCAGGCUGGCCAUAGUGGGAAGUAACAUAUAGUAGUAUCAUGCAUAUGAUAUUAUUGUAUGAUACUGCUCCCUCCAUUUCAGUUUAUAAGUUCGGCACGUGUAUCUAGGUCGUCAAUUUGACCAACUUAAUGAUAAUCAUAUAUUACAAAAAAUAUAUCAUUAAAAACUUUAGAUGUUCUAUUUUUAUAAUGAUAUAAUUUUAUAUUAAACAAUAGAUUUUAUAUACUUCCUCCAUCAUAGUAUAUUGGGCGUAUCUCAUAGGGCUCUCGGACCGAGAUGUUUUUCUAUUGGUAGGAAAAACCGAGCCGACGAGCUGUAAAAGCGCCUAAUUAAUCGCAAAACUGACGCAUUAGUAACCCCCCGUCCACUAAACGAGCAACUUCCUCGCAUGCAUUGGUGGAGAUGGUUUUCAAAACACCCCAAUUAAUAGGCUAAUUAAUGCCAUGCGUCUUAUUUCCUUCUAAUUGUGAAAAAUUGUCGUUUUGGAGAUACGCCCAAUAUACUAUGAUGGAGGGAGUAAGUUAAAUUGACGAUCCAGGUACACGUGUGUGCCUUAUAAACUUUGACGGAGGUUGAAAGGAUCAAUAUGGUUGACUAGAGGGGGGUGAAUAGGCAACUACCAAUUUUUAGCUUUUUUAAAUAAAUAAGGAGUAGCAAUCAUAAAGGUUCACUAACAUGACACUAGGAGGACAACCUAUAUGAUGCUACUUAUCAACGAGUAAAUAAGAAUGUAGGAGCUACUCUACAAUACCAAAAAAUACAAAGUAAAGGUAAGAGAUAACCACAAGUGGAACCGAUGAAGACGAGGAUGUGUUACCAAAGUUCCUUCCCUUUGACACGAAGUAUGUCUCCGUUGGAGCGGUGUGGAGGCACAAUGCUCCCCAAUAAGCCACUAGGGCCACCGUAUUCUCCUCACGCCCUCGCAUAAUGCAAGGUACCGUGAUUCCACUAUAGGUGCUCUUGAAGGCGGCGAUAGAACCUUUACAAACAAGGUUGGGGCAAUCUCCACACAAAGCUUGGAGGCUCCCAACAAGACCACGGAGCUUCACCACAACGGAAUGUGGCUCCGAGGUGACCUCAACCGUCUAGGGUGCUCAAACACCCAAGAGUAACAAGAUCCGCAAGGGAUUAGUAGGGGACAUCAAAUAUCCUUUGGUGGAAGUGUAGAUCAAGGCCUUCUCAAGCAAUCCCUAGAAAAUCAACAACGUUGAUUGGCUAGGGAGAGAGAUCGGGAUAAAAUGAGCUUGUGGAGCAACAAUGGAGCUUAGAGAGGUUAAAGGUGGGAUCUAGGAAGAAGAAGAUGCAUUUAUAUAGUAGGGGAGGCAGAUCCAACCGUUACCCACCUACCACAUAAAUGCACGAGCGAUACUACUGCUUCCCAGAGCGGUACUACCGCUCCUGGGAGCGGUACUACCGCUCAGCUCCUCACCAACCACGGUAGUACCAGGGUACUACCGUGCCACCACCUCCGUGGGAAAGUAUGCGAGAAAAAGCCCGUCGGUGCGGUAGUAAAUUAAUACUACCGCACUAAGGGCGGUAGUACCGCCCUUGGAGCGGUAGUAAAAACUACUACCGUUCUUCGGGCGGUAGUACCGCUCCUGGAGCGGUAGUAAAAGUUUACUACCGCACGUGGGAAGGUUGUACCGCUCCUGGAGCGGUAGUAAAAAUUUACUACCGCUCUGAGAGCGGUACUACCGCUGGUACAGCGGUACUACCUCUUACCCUUUUUCGUAUAGGCAAGGAAACACACAAUGGUGCUCCAUUGAAGCUAAAAUAUGGGUGGGUGCAUGAGGUGUGUGCGUGAGGAUUCCACCCAAACCUUUCCGACGCGGACCCCCUCUUGGUAAGACGACUUUCCUAUGACUCAAACUAGGAAGAGAAAUGUAGAAGAAAAUCCGUCUUCGAGAACCUCCGAGGGGCGUCGAGUCAUCUUGUUCCUAGAAGAGAAUAUUCUGAAAUGCUCAGGACACAGGAUUAGUUCGCACAACAAUUGUCAUCAAUCACUAAAACCACUUAGGAGAAAUAUGCCCUAACAAUCUCCCCCUUUUUGGUGGAUUGAUGACAAUGUUGGAUUUGCACAGAAAAAUAGAGAUAGGCAUAUGCAAACUCCAAAGAUAUCACCAGGGGGCUAGUUUCCUCUGGGUAUGUGCAUACCAACAACUAACCACAGAGAGAACACUCCCCCUAGAUUAUAUAGACUAAGCCAUCCUUACUACAUACGUACGAGGGAUGAAGAAUAUUGAAGCAUGGCAAAGCAUGUGAGCAAAGGUAUACUGGCACAAGAUACUAUGUCUCACAGGUUAAUAAUAAUAUGGAUAAAACUGAUAAUACUGAGACAAAAGAUAAGGAAGAUAAAACAUAUAUCUCACAUUAAGAUAGGAUCUGAUGACUCAGUCUCAACCAUAAAGCAAAAGCAGCGAACGAAAGCAACAAAGUUUUAUCAAACCAAUAGACCAGAAAAACUAGAAAACGAGCAAAUCCUACACUCUCUCCCCCUUUGACAUCGAAACACCAAAAAGGAAGAGAGGAGCCCUUCGACCCAGGUGGUAGAAACAUCAGUCGGUGUCCUCCUCAUCACGAUACUCCUCAUCUGAGUCAUCGUCGAUGUCCUCCUCAGAUGCAGCCCACUGAAGUCGAUGCUUCACCAUCCAUUCAGCCUUAGGGGUGAUCUCACGCUCAGAACCGCUGGAGAAGGGCAGGUCAAGCUUCCUCAUGAUCAAUUUGUCAUGCUGGCGACUCUCCUUCUGAGCAACAUGUGUUCUGUACUGGCCCUUGGCCUGCAUACAGAACAGGGUCUUCAUCCUAUCCGUGAGCCGUGUGGGCCAUGAUGGUUCCGCAGAUGUGUGGGAACCCUCACCCUGUCGAUGAGCCUCUGGAGGAGCCUCAUCCUCAGCGUCUGGAAGAUUGUCAUCAGAAUCCCUUGGGGCAGCCGGACGAGAGGAGGUGUUGGCCCAUUUGUCCUUCUGACGCAGCUUGAUGGGCUCAUGGAGGACCCAAUGAGGAGCAAGAAACUCAGCACCGGGGAAGGUCUUGGUCCAAGUGGCCUUGAUAAAGUAGAAUAGGUAGGGACCGUAGAUUGGGACCUUAUGGUUAAUGACUGCAGAGUAGAGCUCAGUCCACAUGACAUGAGAAACAUCAAGGGGCUGACACUGACGAUUCUUCGCUUUCUGACACAUGAGAAGCAUGUCUACCAGGUAAGAGUGCACUUGGUCCUUGUUGCCAACCCUGGUAAACAACGUGUUGCGAAAAAUCCGGUGCAUCACAUCCAAGAAGGGGUUCAUGACAUAGGAUACCUCGCCAGUGGGGGUGUCCUUCACAGAGAGGUACGGGAGCAGCUUCUCCUUUGGAGCGGCUUGAGGCUUGGCAUGGGGGUGCAAGCCAACAGCAGUAGUGAGGCCCUCAUCCCUGACCUGAAGAAGAUCCAUGAAGUCUUUCCAGGUAGCAGUCAGCUGCACUCCAUUUGUCAACCAAGUCAUAGUACGAGCCUCAUCAUGGUGAAAGUGCACUGUAGCAAAGAAGUGAGCUACAAUGGAAAUGUCAAAAUCCUGUUGAAACGAGAUGAGGUCCGCAAUCUGAAGUUGUUCCACCAUAGCAAUGGCCUCCCCAAAAUAAGACAUGUCCUUCCUCAAAUGAUCAAGAUCAAUCCACUGCACCAGGACAUAUAGGUUCUUCUUCGACCUGAGAACAUCUUCAUAGAUUAAGAAUUGAUUGCGAUUCCAAAAUAGUUCACCGACAGGGAAGUUCUCCCUAUUGUUGGCAUAUGGGUUGAGCUUGCGACGGUGUUGGAACUCGGCAAGCGGCAUGGUGUUCCAGUUGACUGAGGGCUUCUUUGGACCAGGCUUCUUGAACGAGCGCUUGGGGGCAUUGGAGCCUUCAGGCGGAUCAGAGGAAGAUCGCUUGGAACUGGCAGUGCGAGACGGGUUGGGACGACGGGAACCACCACCUGGGACACGCAAACAACACACAAAACACGAAAGAAAGGAGAAACAAGUCAAGGCAACGAUCAAGAAAUACCAGAAAACCCAUAAAACACAAUAGAUUAGUGUGUGUGCACAAAGGGGAGCGGUAGUAAAAUUUUACUAGCGCUCUGGAAGAGGUAGUACCGCCUUGAGGGCGGUAGUACCGCACGGGACGGCCUAAUCACAGAUCUAUGCAAAUUUUACAGGGAAAAACUUGUGAAGAAGAUUGAAAACCUUAGAUCUAGAUCCUAUGCACGCCUAGACACACACACCGCCUAUGCAAGGAAUCAUACUACCAAAAAGCUGCCACUAAAUCCCAAUCACGAUGCCAUGAGACCAUAUGCCCUAACCCUAGAUUGAAUCAACGAUCAAAGCAUAAGAGUGCAGAUGAGGGGCAGUACCGGUGUCCAUGGCGCGUGGGGAAGAGUCCCACCGGUCGGAAUCGGAGGACGAUGGCCGGAUAGGGAGAUCCGGCGAUGCCUUAGGGCAGUUUUUGAGGAGAGGAGAGAGAGACAGAGAAGAACUCGGGGCUGAGGGGGAAAGAGAAAGGCCUCCCAGCCCUUUAAAUAGUCCCCUGGGCGAGGCGGCGCGGUAGUACCGUAGUCAUCGCGGUAGUACCGCGCCCACAACGGUAGUAAAAAAUUAGUACCGUGCUGGGGGCGGUAGUACCGCAUGGUGAGCGGUAGUACCGCUCCCCCAGCGGUAGUAAAUUUUUACUACCGUGCUGGGGGCGGUAGUACUGUUCUCGAAGUCACAAAAUGGCCACAAAAUGAACUCUCUACUCCUUAGGUGGUGGAAAAACUUGAUCAAGCCAAGAGAAAACAAAACACGGAAGCAAGAAAGACACACCGAAAGAAAAGAAACAACACAGAGUCUCCAGGGGAGAGGGCGGUGGCCGAGGCCACCUAUGUUUGAGACAAAUGGUAUGACACCGCGAAGAAUUAUCCUUGGUUUCAUGACCAUAUCUCGUCUUUGAAGCACAAGUGCCAUUUGGUGAUGGCCAAAGUGAAAGACUUGAUCGAUUUAUGCAUAAUGGGGGGAGGGAAAGUUCAUUGAGAGAACAACACUCCCCCUAUGUCCAUGCCUACAUCUAGAGCAAGAUAUAAUGUAGAGUAAGGUGCAAAGUGCCUAGUUUCAAUCCACAUUACUUGAAUCAAUGAUAUUUAGCUCAUGCCUUAACUCCCGGAACCUUGCUUCAUCUAGGGGCUUAGUGAAAAUAUCUGCAAGUUGCUCUUCAGUGUUGAUGAAGUGAAUCUCAAUAUCAGCUAGCUUGAUAUGUUCACGAAUGAAGGGAUGGCGAAUAUCAAUGUGCUUGAUCUUGCUGUGUUGAACCGGAUUGAGAGAAAUCUUGAUAGCACUUUGAUUGUCACAUAGGAGAGGCACUUUGUCACAAGUGACACAGUAGUCCUUUAGAGUUUGCCUCAUCUAUAACAACUGGGCACAACAACUUGCAGCUGCUACAUACUCAGCUUCGGUGGAGGAUAGUGAGACACAAUUCUGCUUCUUUGAAGACCAACUUACCAGUGAACGACCAAGGAAUUGACAUCCUCCAGAGGUUGACUUCCUCUUCACAUAGUCUCCUGCCCAAUCUGAGUCAGAAUAGCCCACUAGGUUAAAGUUUGCUCCUUUGGGAUACCAUAGACCAAAGUUUGGGGUAUGAGCCAAAUAUCGAAAGAUUCGUUUGACAUCCAUGUAAUGGCUUUCCUUUGGUGAGGAUUGAAACCGUGCACAAAUCCCUACACUCAACAUGAUAGCUGGUCUAGAUGCACAAAGGUAAAGGAGGGAUCCAAUCAUGGAGCGAUAUACCUUUUGAUCCACUACUUUACCAUUGGGAUCACUGUCAAGCUUGCAUCGUGUUGGCAUGGGAAACUUGACCGGCUUGACAUCCUCUAGCUCAAACCUCUUGAGCAUGUCUUGAGUGUACUUGGCUUGUUUGAUGAAAGUCCCUUCUAAGCCUUGUUUGAUCUCGAACCCGAGGAAGAACUUCCACUUUCCCAUCAUAGACAUCUCAAAUUCCUCGGUCAUCAGUGCAACAAAUUCUUCAUUGAAAGAUUCGUUAGGAGAACCAAAAAUGAUGUCAUCAACAUAUAGUUGGCAUAUGAACAAAUCCCCUUUGACCCUCUUAGUAAAAAGAGUGGGAUCAAUCUUCCCAAUUUCAAACCCACGAUCUUGUAACAACUCAGUAAGAUACUCAUACCACGCACGUGGGGCUUGUUUAAGGCCAUAGAGUGCCUUAUUCAGUUUGUACACAUGAUUGGGGAGCUUGGGUUGUUCGAACCCCGGGGGUUGUUUGACAUAGACCAACUCAUUUAAAGGACCAUUAAGAAAGGCACUUUUCACAUCCAUUUGUUGUAAUUUGAAAUUAUGAUGAGAAGCAAAUGCAAGCAUCAUGCGAAUAGAUUCUAGACGAGCAACAGGUGCAAAGGUUUCACCGUAGUCGAUACCCUCGACUUGGGAGUAGCCUUGAGCCACCAAUCUUGCCUUGUUUCGAAUCACAAUCCCAUUGGCAUCUUGCUUGUUUUUUAAGAUCCAUUUGGUCCCAAAGACAUUAUGUUCCUCCUUUGGCCUUGGCACUAAAUCCCAUACUUGAUUGCACUCGAAGUUGUUGAGUUCUUCAUGCAUGGCCAUAAGCCAAUCCUCAUCAUCGAGCGCUUCCUGUACCUAUUGAGGUUCACAGUACGAAACAAACGCGUGAUGCUCACAAUAAUUCCAAAUUUGUUGACGAGUGGAUACUCCCCUUUUCAAACUACCAAGUACAUUCUUCAUAAGAUGUGACUUGACUCUCAGCUUGUUCACAAUCUUGGUUGCGCGACGCUCCAAGAGUUCUUCAUUUGAUAACUGGAGAACAUCGACAUGAUUACUUUGCUUGCCCUUGCGUUUUGAUCCUCCCUUGGCACCAGUACCCCUUUUAGGCGCUGCAGAAGGGAAUUGAGAGACAACAUCCUGAUCAACUUGAUCUUCGACUUGAGCAGGUUCACUAGUUUGUCCUUGUUCUUGUGGUUGCUCUUGAUCUUGAUCUUGUGCUUCUAUUUGGUCUGGAUCAUGUGGUUGCACUUGAUCUUGAUCUUGAGCAGGUUCGGAACCUUGGGUGAGUGCUUGUACUUCAUGGGACACGUCACCAUCUUUAGGCAAUUGGUCCUGAUCUUGAGUUUGUUCAACUUGUUGAGGGUCUUCUCUUUGUUCAUCGGAAGCGUGUGGGACUUGUGAGGAUGAUGGCUCCACUUGAGUAGAGCAUUGUCCUUCUCCUUCGUCCACAAGGGGUUCCUCAAUGGGGAGUAUUUGACCAAUCCCCAUUCUUCUUAUGGCUUGGGGAGGAAUUUCAUCCCCUACAUCACAAAGACCACUUUACUCCACUUGGGAGCCAUUAUUUUCAUCAAACUCCACGUUACACGUCUCCUCAAUGAGUCUGGUGGACUUGUUGAGGACACGGUAAGCAUGAGAGUUUGUAGCAUAACCAACAAAUAUGCCCUCAUGUGCUCUAGAAUCAAAUUUAGCUAAACGUGCACCUUUCUUGAGAAUGAAACACUUACACCCGAAUACCCGGAAGUACUUGAGAUUGGGUUUGUUUCCGGUGAGAAUCUCAUAUGGGGUCUUGUUCAAGCCUUUGCGGAUAUAGAGCCGAUUGGACACAUGACAUGCUGUGUUGAUGGCUUCGGCCCAAAAGUUAUAUGGAGAUUUGAAUUCCGCCAUCAUUGUUCUUGCAGCAUCCAUCAGUGUCCGGUUCUUCCUUUCCGCCACACCAUUUUGUUGAGGGGUAUAUGGUGCCGAAUGUUGAUGUUUUAUUCCCUCGUCACCUAGAAACUCAUCCAAGGUGUAGUUCUUGAACUCGGUGCCGUUGUCACUUCUGAUCAUCAAAAUCUUUGCUUCAUGAUGACGUUGAGCUUCGUUAGCAAAGUUGAUAACAGUUUGUUGAGUCUCACUCUUCCUCUUGAAGAAAUAUACCCAAGUGUAUCUUGAGUAAUCAUCAACAAUCACCAAGCAGUACUUUCUGCCCCCAAGACUAUCAAAUGAUGGGGGACUGAAGAGAUCCAUAUGAAGGAGCUCCAACGGUCUCUUAGUGUAAAUGAGAGUCGUUGGACGAUGAGCAGUUUCAUGGAUUUUUCCUUCAAUGCAGGCACUUCAAGCACGAUCUCUGGCAAAACUCACAUUUGUUAGUCCACGAAUAUGGUCCCCUUUAAGGAGACUUUGCAAAGAUCUCAUAUUGACAUGAGCUAGUCGGCGAUGCCAAAGACAGCCCACAUCAACUUUAGCCAUUAGACAUGUCGCAGUCUUAGUGGGUCGCUUUGAAAAGUUCACCACAUAGAGACCAUUUUCGACAUGUCCAACAUAGGCUACUUUAAGAGUCUUGCUCCACAAAAGGACCACAAUAUCAAGAUUAAAGAAUGUGGAAAAGCCCGUAAUUGCAAGUUGACGAACCGAUAGUAAAUUAUAAGCAAGGGACUCAACAAGCAUGAACUUCUCAAUAGAUAACUCUUGAGAGAUGAUCACCUUACCAAAUCCCAAUACCUUUGACGAUGAUGCAUCGGCGAAUUGGACAUGGGUGGGCAUAGAUGGGGAAGGAUGCACAUCCACCACUAAGUCCUUGCUUCCGGUGAUAUGAUUUGUUGCUCCACUAUCGAGCAACCAUGACACCCUCCGGAAGCAAACUCCUGCAAUAGAUCAAGGCUUGGUUUUAGGUACCCAUUUUUGAAUGGGUCCUUUAAUGUUAGAGACAAGGGUCUUAGGAACCCAAAUUGCACAUUCAAUGUACUCAUAGUAUGAACCAACAAAUCUGGCAUAAACAUGCCCAUCACCAGCAUGACAUAAAACAUAGGAAGGAUUUAGUUUGUCGGCUGUGUUGGUAGGAAUGGUUUUGCCCUUCUUGAUGCUCCCAUUUUCCACCUUGUUCCUGUUCACCUCCUGAUUCCCUUCGCCCUCUUUGACAAAGAUAUCCAUGAGGGUGGGGGAUCUGUUGUUCCUGUUCUUUCUUUUUCUUUUAGACUUAGAUGUAAUUCCAAGCCCCUCCUUUCCUACCACACCCUUUUGAUUGCUCAAAAGGUCGUUCAGGCUCUUCUUGCCUUGGAUGCAUGACACAAGGCCCUUCUCAAGUUUAUCCUUCAACUUGGCAUUUUCCUCCACAAGAUGUACAUGCUCACAACAAGGGUUAGUUGUACAAGCAUUAUCAAUUAAAACAAAAGUAGGACAAGUAGAGAUUUCCUUGGUAAUCUUUGCUUGAAGUUGAUCAUGAGACUCUUUCAGGGAGAAAUGACUACCUUUCAAGGCCUUGUGAGCCUUGUCAAGUGUGUCAAACUCCAUUUUGAGUCUGUCAUGGUCAACCCCAAGAGCAUCCUUUUCAGACUGAAGCAUACGAGUAAGAACAGUAGCAUGAUCUAGUUUCUUUUGCAAUUUAGCACAGUCAUCGUUGUAUGACUCCUCAGGAGCCAAACGAAGAGUGCGCUCCGUUUCUAGUGCAGUAGAAAGUUCAGCAAUCUCAUCGGCAUAGUCAUGACUAUGACCUUGCAUCUCGGAGAUGGUCUCCUCAUGAGACUCGAUGAGGUCAUUAGCCUCACCCAAUUGUUCCAAAAGGGCAACAAAGUGCCUCUUGGUUUCUCCUUUGAUAGUACACAGAAAUUUGUCAAGAUCAUGCUCAUUAAGUUCUACAACAUCACUAUCAUCAACACAAUUCAACAAUGAGGGAGCACUAGUGAUGUUGGUCUUAAUGUUGGGUAUUACCUGAGUGAUACCUUUGGCCAUGAGGCACUUGGCGAUGUGAUUAUCGUUGGGGGCGUUGAAGAGAGAGACAUUCUUGGGAGAAGGAGUGGCGAUAGCGACAGUCGCAGUUGCCACCAUAUCAUCAUCAUCAUCAUCAUCAUCGGAGGGGUACUCUUCAAGUGCCACCUGUUGGGGAACGUCGCAUGGGAAACAAAAAAUUUCCUACGCGCACGAAGACCUAUCAUGGUGAUGUCCAUCUACGAGAGGGGAUGAGUGAUCUACGUACCCUUGUAGAUCGUACAGCAGAAGCGUUUAGAGAACGCGGUUGAUGUAGUGGAACGUCCUCACGUCCCUCGAUCCGCCCCGCGAACAAUCCCGCGAUCAGUCCCACGAUCUAGUACCGAACGGACGGCACCUCCGCGUUCAGCACACGUACAGCUCGACGAUGAUCUCGGCCUUCUUGAUCCAGCAAGAGAGACGGAGAGGUAGAAGAGUUCUCCGGCAGCGUGACGGCGCUCCGGAGGUUGGUGAUGAUCUUGUCUCAGCAGGGCUCCGCCCGAGCUCCGCAGAAACACGAUCUAGAGGAAAAACUAUGGAGGUAUGUGGUCGGGCAGCCGUGAAAAAGUCGUCUCAAAUCUGCCCUAAAAGCCCCAUAUAUAUAGGAGGAGGGAGGGGAACCUUGCCUUGGGGUCCAAGGGAUCCCCAAGGGGUCGGCCGAGCCAAGGGGGGGAGGACUCCCCCCCCAAACCGAGUUGGACUUGGUUUGGUGGGAGGAGUCCCCCUCCCUUCCCACUUCUUCCCUCCUUUUUUUUUCCUUUGAUUUUCUUAUCUUGGCGCAUAGGCUUCCUUGGGGCUGUCCCACCAGCCCACUAAGGGCUGGUGUGUUCCCCCAAAGCCUAUGGGCUUCCCCGGAGUGGGUUGCCCCCCUCCGGUGAACUCCCGGAACCCAUUCGUCAUUUCCCGGUACAUUCCCGGUAACUCCGAAAACCUUCCGGUAAUCAAAUGAGGUCAUCCUAUAUAUCAAUCUUCGUUUCCGGACCAUUCCGGAAACCCUCGUGACGUCCGUGAUCUCAUCCGGGACUCCGAACAACAUUCGGUAACCAACCAUAUAACUCAAAUACGCAUAAAACAACGUCGAACCUUAAGUGUGCAGACCCUGCGGGUUCGAGAACUAUGUAGACAUGACCCGAGAGACUCCUCGGUCAAUAUCCAAUAGCGGGACCUGGAUGCCCAUAUUGGAUCCUACAUAUUCUACAAAGAUCUUAUCGUUUGAACCUCAGUGCCAAGGAUUCGUAUAAUCCCGUAUGUCAUUCCCUUUGUCCUUCGGUAUGUUACUUGCCCGAAAUUCGAUCGUUGGUAUCCGCAUACCUAUUUCAAUCUCGUUUACCGGCAAGUCUCUUUACUCGUUCCGUAAUACAAGAUCCCGUAACUUACACUAAGUCACAUUGCUUGCAAGGCUUGUGUGUGAUGUUGUAUUACCGAGUGGGCCCCGAGAUACCUCUCCGUCACACGGAGUGACAAAUCCCAGUCUUGAUCCAUACUAACUCAACCAACACCUUCGGAGAUACCUGUAGAGCAUCUUUAUAGUCACCCAGUUACGUUGCGACGUUUGAUACACACAAAGCAUUCCUCCGGUGUCAGUGAGUUAUAUGAUCUCAUGGUCAUAGGAAUAAAUACUUGACACGCAGAAAACAGUAGCAACAAAAUGACACGAUCAACAUGCUACGUCCAUUAGUUUGGGUCUAGUCCAUCACGUGAUUCUCCUAAUGACGUGAUCCAGUUAUCAAGCAACAACACCUUGUUCAUAUUCAGAAGACACUGACUAUCAUCGAUCAACUGGCUAGCCAACUAGAGGCAUGCUAGGGACGGUGUUUUGUCUAUGUAUCCACACAUGUAAAUGAGUCUUCAUUCAAUACAAUUAUAGCAUGGAUAAUAAACUAUUAUCUUGAUACAGGAAUUAUAAUAAUAACUAUACAUUUAUUAUUGCCUCUAGGGCAUAAUUCCAACACCACCAUACCCUUUGGAUGGGGUUUCUUGACAAAGUUGUUCUUGCUUGGGAAUGACUUUGUUUUGUCUUUGCGAAUGAGCUUGCCUGUGUUGUCUUCCCUCUUCUCAUAAGGACAUUCCGCCACGAAGUGGCUCACAUUACCACAGUUAUAGCAUGUCCUCACUCGUUGCUUGGGUUUGAACCCGCUUGAGUUGUUCUUGGUGAAGUUGGGUCUUGAAUUCCUCUUGUUGCCCCAGAAUUGCCUGGACUCAAGAGCCAUGUGCUCGUGAUAAGCAUACUUAGUGUCUUCAGGGCAGCUCUACUCUUCCUCAUCCUCCUCUUCUUCUUCAGAAGCAGCCUUUGCCUUCAAAGCAAGGUUAGGUGAAGCUGUCUUUGACCGAACUCGAGCAAGUGCAUUGUCAGCGGUCUCGUUCAUGAUUGACAUUGCAAUGAAUUCGUCCAACACCUCACUGGAAGACAAGGAGUGGAAAUCUGGUCGUUGGCGAAUGACUGAUGACAUGGCUUUGUUGAAAGGCAUGAUGGCCUUGAGAAACUUAUGCUUGACCCAUGUGUCAUCCACAUCCUUGCUCCCAUGAUCCUUGAGAGCAACAACAAUAGCAGUCACCCUCCGAUAGAGAUCACGAGGGUCCUCAUCUUCCUUCAUUACAAACUCAUCGGCCUUAUCAAGUAUCACUUCAUAGUUUGACCGUUGAAUUAUAGAGCUUCCCUUGUAUAGCACCAUAAUGUGCUCCCAACAGUCUUUGGCCAGAGACAAGGGGCGCAAGUGAGGAAGAUCUUCAGGCGGUACUUCGGACUAUAGAAUAAACAAUGCGGAGUGAUUAUAUUGAUUGCCCGCUUCUUCUCUUGGAGUGAAGUUGCUUGGGUCAUGAGGAUAGUAGCCUUGCUCGAUGAUUCUUCAUAAAUUUGUUGAGCUGUGAUUCAAAUGAGACUUAAUAGAAAACACCCAGUUAGCAAAAUCACCCUUAACAAGCUUAGGAGGAGGACCAACAGGAUUAAGACGCGGUGUGGGAACGGGUCCUCCAUACACCAUGGGAGGUGGAACUGAGGCAUAGGUUCCAGUCCCAUCCUUUUUGAGAGAUGAGGAAGGUCGCAUACCUUUAGCCGCUUCCUUAGAGGAAUUGGCCUCUGAAUCGGUGAUGGUGGGUUUAACCACUAACACCGGUUCGGGUGAACUUUUAAUUCCCACAAUUAACUCUUUAAGCAUGGUCUUGACUUCGUUCGUCAAGGACGUCUUGAGGGCGGCCAUAGCCGUAUUCAAGUCGUCCCUUGUGACCGAAGUCAAGUCCAUGGCCUCGGGUUGCCCAUGGGGAACUCCCUCUUUGUCUUCCAUACUCUUCGGGUGGUGAAACCCUUAAUAAAGAGACGUGGCUCUGAUACCAAUUGAAAGUAUCGAUAUGGUUGACUAGAGGGGGGGUGAAUAGGCAACUACCAAUUUUUAGCUUUUCUAAAUAAAUAAGGAGUAGCAAUCAUAAAGGUUCACUAACAUGACACUAGGAGGACAACCUAUAUGAUGCUACUUAUCAACGAGUAAAGAAGCACGUAGGAGAUACUCUACAAUACCAACAAAUACAAAGUAAAGGUAAGAGAUAACUACAAGUGGAACCGAUGAAGACGAGGAUGUGUUACCGAAGUUCCUUCCCUUUGACAGGAAGUACGUCUCCGUUGGAGCGGUGUGGAGGCACAAUGCUCCCCAAUAAGCCACUAGGGCCACCGUAUUCUCCUCACGCCCUCGCACAAUGCAAGGUACCGUGAUUCCACUAUAGGUGCUCUUGAAGGCGGCGACCGAACCUUUACAAACAAGGUUGGGGCAAUCUCCACACAAAUCAUGGAGGCUCCCAACAAGACCACGGAGCUUCACCACAACGGAAUGUGGCUCCGAGGUGACCUCAACCGUCUAGGAUGCUCAAACACCCAAGAGUAACAAGAUCCGCAAGGGAUUAGUAGGGGGAAUCAAAUAUCCUUUGGUGGAAGUGUAGAUCAAGGCCUUCUUAAGCAAUCCCUAGAAAAUCAACAAGGUUGAUUGGCUAGGGAGAGAGAUCGGGCUAAAAUGAGCUUGUGGAGCAACAAUGGAGCUUAGAGAGGUUAAAGGUGGGCUCUAGGGAGAAGAAGAUGCCUUUAUGUAGUAGGGGAGGCAGAUCCAACUGUUAUCCACCUAUCACAUAAAUGCACGAGCGGUACUACCGCUCCUGGAGCGGUACUACCGCUCAGCUCCUCACCAACCACGGUAGUACCGGGGUACUACCGUGCCACCACCUCCGUGGGAAAGUAUGCGAGAAAAAGCCCGUCGGUGCGGUAGUAAAUUAAUACUACCGCACUGAGGGCGGUAGUACCGCCCUUGGAGCGGUAGUAAAAUACUACUACCGUUCUUCGGGCGGUAGUAUCGCUCCUGGAGCGGUAGUAAAAGAUUACUACCGCACCUGGGAAGGUAGUACCGCUCGUGGAGCGGUAGUAAAAAUUUACUACCACUCUGACAGCGGUACUACUGCUGUGCCAGCGAUACUACCGCUGUACAGCGGUACUACCGCUUAUCCUUUUUCGCAUAGGCAAGGAAAACACAAUGGUGCUCCAUUGAAGCUAAAAUAUGGGUGGGUGCAUGAGGUGUGUGCGUGAGGAUUCCACCCAAACCUUUCUGACGCGGAGCCCCUCUUGGUAAGAAGACUUUCCUAUGACUCAAACUAGGAAGAGAAAUGUAGAAGAAAAUCCGUCUUCGAGAACCUCCGAGGGGCGUCGAGUCAUCUUGUGCCUAGAAGAGAAUAUUCUGAAAUGCUCAGGACACAGAAUUAGUCCGCACAACAAUUGUCAUCAAUAAACUAAAACCACUUAGGAGAAAUAUGCCUUAACAGAGGUAGUACCUUUAUAGUGCAUAAUAUCAUAAAUUAGUACUUCCUCCGUCACGGUUUAGAAGGCACAGUUAAACUUGCGUUCGUUUCCAAAAUAUACAAGGUCUAUGGCGUGAAAGCAAUUACUCUAAUUAAUUAGUACUAGUACUACUCUUGCAUGCAUAGUGGAGAGUAUCAUAUAGUAGUAUCAUGCAUAUGAUUCUAUUGUAUGAUACUACCUCUAUAAUGCAUAGUAUCAUAAAGUAGUAUCAUAGACGACCUCAUUUAUUGACAUGCAAAACAUAUUGUAGCAUUACAUUUAACAUGUUAUGGUAUCUACGUAUGUUACUCUAACCCUCUCUCUCAUCUUUAAUUGCCUGCCACAUCAGCAUGUUUGCUAGUCCCAAGAGCAUGAUACUACCUAAGUUACUCCCACUAUGGCCAGCCUAAUUUGCUGCUCACGCAUUAAUACUAGUAUUUUCUCAGUUGAUUAGAUGCAUUAGCAUAUAGACAUACUACAUCUCACAACCAAUCGAUGACUACCUUGGUUUCAGAGAUUUUCCAAACAUGUCUUCUAAACCGUGACGGAGGGAGUAUCAUAGGUGAUCUUAUUUAUUGCCAUGCAUGAUACAAAGUAGCAUUGCAUUUAACAUGAUACGGUAUCUACCUAUGUUACUCUAACCUUCGCUUUCUUCUUUAAUUCUCUACCACAUCAGCAUGUUUGCUAUUCCCGAGUAUAUGUUACUAGCUAAGAUACUCCCACUAUGGCUAGCCCCAUUUGCGAGGUGACUCGGUGUAGUUGGUGCGCUUAGCCUUUCGCAGCGGUCCUUUUGAUUUCUUUUGAGUGGCUCGCAUGCCAGUUGUGGUCGGUUGUGGCCGUUGUUUGUUGCUACUCAUGUGUUGUGUGUUACCUGAUUGCAUGUUGGCUUUGGAGGAUGCUUGGAUACGUUUUAGUCCCAUGAUUAAAAGUAGUGGAACUAAAACUUGCUAGCCUCAUCCAUGCUUGGAUCCAAAUACUAAAAAGACUAAAAUCAAGUUAAUGAACAUUUAUUAUCCUUCAAACCAUCCAAUCCAAAACUCGCAUGUGUUAAAGGAGAGGAGUUAAAUGAGGAGAGAGAGAACUAAUCUACAUUUUAGUAUGGGUACCCUCACUAAAUUUUUUUAGUCUCAAGACUAGUUUUAACCCCUCUUUAGUCAGGGGUGCUUGAAACUUUAGCCUCUUAAAAAGACUACUUUUAGUCAGACUAGUUUUAGUCGCUUGGAUCCAAACACCCUCUUAUUAAUUUAAAGUCAAACUCGGGCCUUUUCUAUAAGAAAAAGAGUACUUGAUUGUUUACAUAGUGUAUAAAUUAUUAAUAUAGGCAGGAGAUUUAAUCUUAGUGACUAAUGUGUAAAUUCGACUUGAAAAAUGCACGGAACCUGGGCCAGGUAAGAGCAGCGGCGAGAAACUUGACUCUUUAGGUCACCAAGGUCGUCGUCAAUCACGCUGUAUCCGAGAUUUCUGUCCUUGUUUCGUCUGACUCAAGUUGCAACGAGACAUACGACUGCUCUGCAAGGGCAGGCCAAUUCGCCCAGAGUUAAUGAAACCGGUUAGCAGCUGUAGACAGGCCUGCAUGGAAUGGUAAAUUCAUGGUUGGUGACGUUGUGGACAAUUUUCACACAAAGAACAGGUCAAUGAGGAGCGGAGGCACGGUAAACCGAGGCUCAUAAUUCAACGAAGCAUGUUCCUUCACAUGCUCUUUUAUUUGCCAUGGCUAGCCAUGUUGGGUUAAGACAUCCGGAUAAUCUUUUAUUUUAUCCAUAUAAACAUUGUAUAAUGAUUUAAAUAAAAGCUUGAUGAGAUUGUCUAGAAAAAAAGACACACACGUGCAGCACUCUCACUGACUCACGUACCCUUGAGCAAUGCAAUAGCAUCUCCUAUCAGAUUUGUACUUUUUUUGCGGGAAAAAGAGUACAAAUGUACAGGUAAAAAGAAGUACUGAAAUGUGUAAAUUAUCAUAGGCAGCAGAUUUAACCCUAGUGACUAGAAUGUCUAAAAUCGAUUUGAAUAAUGCAUGGAACAUGGACCAGGCAAGAGCAGCAUCGAAAAACUUGACUCUUUAGAGCAAGUACAAUAACAAAUUUAUAGCCUAUUUAGAUUCUAUGAGAGCAUGAUUAAUAAUAUAAUCAAUAAUCGGCUACAAGGAGUUGUCAUGCCAUUUACAGCCAACCUAAUAGCCGGCAUGCACUAUAGUAAAUUUUAAAUAUGUACUAGUACUUUAUUAGUAGUUGGCUCAUCUUACAAUCUUACGAAACGUUUUGGGGCUCAUGUUGCAGCUGGCUACUAAUCAAUAGUCUGCUUCUCUUCUCUUUCAUCUUCUCUUUCUUCCACCUAAACAAAAAUAUAAUAUUCAAAUCAUUCUAAUCCGUUUAUGUCAUUUUAUUGUAUUUGCUCUGAACAGCCUUAUAGCUAGCCGCCGGCUGUAUUAUUAAGGGUUAGUUAUUUUGUUGCCUUCUAGAAUAAGCUGGAAUAAGCUAUCCCUACUCAGCUUAUUCUAGAAAACCAAUCAAAUUUACUUUUUAGAAGGGAAUCGUUUCCAUACGACGCGCAGGCCGAACCGACGCGCCGGUCGCUUCCUUGCGCGCACGGGUUCAUGCAAUAUUUUUCGCACGUGCGCGCUUCGCUGGUCAGUGGAUGCAACAUUUUUCGUUGAAAUUUGUUGCAACCAGCGUCAUAUUUGUUGCAUGUGUUUUUUACUACAUUUGUCUAGUAAAAAAGUUGCAUAUACGUUUGGUUGCAACUCCAGUUCGUCGGAUUUUUCGUUACAAUCGAUGUUUGUUAUUUUUGCUACAACAGUGUUAAUUUUUGCUACAACCGGUAUUAUUUUUUGCUGCAAUCAUUCACUAAAAAAGUUGCAUACACGUUCACGUAGAUAUUUGUUACAACUGACGUUUGACUUUUGCUAUCACGCACCAUCAGAUUCGUUUUUUUGCUACGAUCACGUAGAUAUUUUUUUUGCUACAAAUUUUGUUUUUUGUUGCAGUCGUUGAAAAAAUUACUGCAUCGCGACGAAUUUUGCUGCAUCGGAAGAAAAAAUGUUGCAUUGAUAUCCAACGGUGCGGACGCGCGGGGGUUGGUGGAUCGUGCGGCCGGCGCGCUGGCGCAGAGCACUGCCUUUUUUAUAAGUCUAUUAAUUAAGACGUGACUAGUAAGCAUUUAAAAAUAUAUUUUUGAUUGGAUUUUUAAAAUAAACUAGAUAGAAGGUAACUUAUUCUAGAAGCUCAAAAAAAGUCAUAAAAAAACUGACCCUAACCAGCCAAGGUCAUCGCCAAUCACGCUGUAUCCGAGAUUUCUGUGCUUGUUUCGUCUAACUCAAGUUGCAACCAUACACUACUGCUCUGCAAACGCAUGCCACCGAAUGAAACCGGUUAGGGUAAAAUUGUCACAUUGAUGAUUUUAAUGACAUGUUGCAUAAUAAAAGAAGAGAAAUAAUGAAACCGUAUGAACCUGAAGCAACGGUUCAUGCACAAGCUCCGAGGCAAACAUGUUAUUUUUUUACUAUUUAGUAAACUCAUUUAGUUAUUUUACAUACGAUUAACAUACACUUUAUUGAAGAGCUUGUAUGAUGUACUGUUGGUUGUUAACGUGGACACUUAUACCAACGAUUGAAUAUAUGAACUGUUGAAGAUGCUCUUAGCAGCUGUAGACAGGCCUGCAUGGAAUGGUAAAUGCAUGGUUGGUGACGUUGUGGACAAUUUCCACACAAAGAACAGGUCGACGAGGAGCGGAGACACUGUUCCCAUGCAACAUUCAACGGUCAACCUGGCUAGCUAGCUUGUCCCCACGCAGAGCUAGCACACCGGCACCGCGAAAUCUCAAAGCUCGAUCGGAUCACCGACGCGCAAUCAGCGAGACACCGCGAAGUCCAUGGAACGCCGCCGGUCAGACGCUUGAUCGCUGCCCGGUCCAAAUUUGCGUGCGUCGCAACGUGCGCCGCCCACGAAACGCGGCUUGCACAUACGUCGUUGCCAAGCUAUUGCCUUCGUACGUACGUGGUCGUCCGGGACGACCUAUAAAUAUGUCAUCCGUAACCCAGCCGGAGGAAACAACGCACCACUCGAAGCAGCCAUCUCUCUAGACUCUAGUGUGCUACUGCGAAAGGAAGAUGGCGACUAAGCUAAAGCUCGCGGCGCUCGUUGUCUUGGCCGCGUUCCUCGCCGGACCGGCGGCGUCCGAGGCCGCCAGCAUUUGCUUCAACGGCUGGCUGAGGCUACCCACCUACAACCCGCAGCUCUGUCGCUCCAGCCCGACCGUUCGGACGCGGCAGAGGGUACCUGCUCCCUCGGGGUCCGGGCUCACCUCCGGCUAUUACAACACCAGGUGCCCUAGCGCGGAGCAGAUCGUCACGGACGCCGUGAAGAAGGCCGUGGAUGCCAACCCUGGCAUUGGUGCCGGGCUCAUCCGUCUCUUCUUCCACGACUGCUUCGUUCGGGUACACACACAGCUCCUCGAUUCUAUAGCUUAUAUUCUACCAUAUUCAUUAUAUGUGGAACAACAUGUUCAUUAUGUGGAACAACAUGUUAAUAUUAUUUAGGGGUGCGAUGCUUCGGUCCUCCUCAACACGACCAACUCCAAGAACAGCGACACGGAGAGGGAGGGCCCUCCGAACAAGGACAGCCUGCGAGGGUUCGAGGUGAUCGACGAGGCCAAAGCGGCGAUCGAGGCCGCCUGCCCCAGCACAGUCUCAUGCGCCGACAUCGUGGCCUUCGCCGCCCGCGACGCGUCCUACUUCCUCAGCGACCGCAGGAUCAACAUCCAGAUGCCGGGCGGCCGCUACGACGGCCGCGAGUCCUUUGCCAACGAGACCGACCAGCUGCCCGGGCCCUUCUCCAACCUCACGGCGCUCCAAGAAAGUUUCGGGGCCAAGGGACUCACCUCUGACGAGAUGGUCGUGCUCUCCGGCGCGCACACAAUCGGCCGCGCCCGCUGUAUGUUUUUCUCCAGCCGCUUCCCUGAGAUGGACCCGGCAUUUGCCGCCAAGCUCAGGGCACAGUGCAACGGCAAUGACAACACCAACGUGAACCAAGACGAUGUGACCCCCGACGUUCUGGAUAAGCAGUACUAUCAGAAUGUGAUUGACAAGAAAGUGUUGUUCACCUCGGACGCCGUGCUCAACUCGACUGAAACGAUAACGCAGGUGACAGAAAACGCGAACGUGGCCGGGGCGUGGGAGAGGAAGUUCGAGAGUGCCAUGGAGAAUAUGGGCAAAAUCGGGGUCAAGACCAUGGGAGACCAGCAAGGCG